RNAcentral lists this ribosomal RNA (754 nucleotides) under uncultured bacterium. RNAcentral's name for it is "bacterial SSU rRNA". It matches the Rfam family "Bacterial small subunit ribosomal RNA", at positions 72 to 840 of the family's 1533-position model. The record is from RNAcentral.
GAGAGAGCUUGCUUUUUCAAACUUAGUGGCGAACGGGUGAGUAACGCGUGAGUAACCUGCCCUGGAGUGGGGGACAACAGUUGGAAACGACUGCUAAUACCGCACAAGCCCACGGCCCGGCAUCGGGUUGAGGGAAAAGGAUUUAUUCGCUUCAGGAUGGACUCGCGUCCAAUUAGCUAGUUGGUGAGGUAACGGCCCACCAAGGCGACGAUUGGUAGCCGGACUGAGAGGUUGAACGGCCACAUUGGGACUGAGACACGGCCCAGACUCCUACGGGAGGCAGCAGUGGGGGAUAUUGCACAAUGGGGGAAACCCUGAUGCAGCGACGCCGCGUGGAGGAAGAAGGUUUUCGGAUUGUAAACUCCUGUCGUUGGGGACGAUAAUGACGGUACCUAACAAGAAAGCACCGGCUAACUACGUGCCAGCAGCCGCGGUAAAACGUAGGGUGCAAGCGUUGUCCGGAAUUACUGGGUGUAAAGGGAGCGCAGGCGGACCGGCAAGUUGGAAGUGAAAUCUAUGGGCUCAACCCAUGAAUUGCUUUCAAAACUGCUGGCCUUGAGUAGUGCAGAGGUAGGUGGAAUUCCCGGUGUAGCGGUGGAAUGCGUAGAUAUCGGGAGGAACACCAGUGGCGAAGGCGACCUACUGGGCACCAACUGACGCUGAGGCUCGAAAGCAUGGGUAGCAAACAGGAUUAGAUACCCUGGUAGUCCAUGCCGUAAACGAUGAUUACUAUGUGUUGGAGGAUUGACCCCUU